RNAcentral lists this long non-coding RNA (1369 nucleotides) under Zea mays. RNAcentral describes it as "long non-coding RNA (ZMAY_LNC005766)". Lineage: Eukaryota; Viridiplantae; Streptophyta; Magnoliopsida; Poales; Poaceae. The record is from RNAcentral.
ACCAAGAAAUGGUCUCCACCAGAAAUCCAAGAAUGUGAUCUAUGGCAAGGAAACAUAUGUGGGGUGAGGUGUAUGAGCGUCUGGUCGAUGAUCAAUGGACACACAACCCCCAUUUUUGUCGAAAAUAGCCAUGAACGACCAUUUUCAAUAAUACCGAAGGCUAACACCUACGGAUUUUUGACCAAGAAAUGGUCUCCACCAAUAAUCCAAGAAUGUGAUUUAUGGCAAAGAAACAUAUGUGGGGUGAGGUGUAUGAGCCUCUUGUCGACGAUCAAUGGCCACACAACCCUAAUUUUUGUCGAAAAUAGCCAUGAACGACCAUUUUCAAUGACACUGAAGGCUAACACCUACGGAUUUUUGACCAAGAAAUGGUCUCCACCAUAAAUCCAAGAAUGUGAUCUAUGGCAAGGAAACAUAUGUGUAGUGAGGUGUAUGAGCCUCUGGUCGAAGAUCAAUGGCCACACAACCCCCAUUUUUGUCGAAAAUAGCCAUGAAUGACCAUUUUCAAAAAUACCAAAGGCUAACACGUACGGAUUUUUGACCAAGAAAUGGUCUCCACCAGAAAUCCAAGAAUGUGAUCUAUGUCAAGGAAACAUAUGUGGGGUGAGGUGUACGAGCCUCUGGUCGAUGAUCAAUGGCCACACAACCCCCAUUUUGCCGAAAAUAGCCAUGAACGACCAUUUUCAAUAAUACCGAAGGCUAACACGUACGAGUUUUUAACCAAGAAAUGGUCUCCACCAGAAAUCCAAGAAUGUGAUCUAUGGCAAUGAAACAUAUGUGGGGUGAGGUUUAUGAGCCUCUAGUCGAUGAUAAAUGGCCACACAACCCCCAUUUUUUAUGAAAAUAGCCAUGAGCGACCUUCAAAAUAGCCAUGAGCGACCAUUUUCAAUAAUACUAGAGGCUAACACCUACGGAUUUUAGACCAAGAAAUGGUCUCCACCAGAAAUCCAAGAAUGUGAUCUAUGGCAAGGAAACAUAUGUGGGGUGAGGUGUAUGAGCGUCUGGUCGAUGAUCAAUGGCCACACAACCCCCAUUUUUGUCGAAAAUAGCCAUGAACGACCAUUUUCAAUAAUACCUAGGCUAACACCUACGGAUUUUUGACCAAGAAAUGGUCUCCACCAGAAAUCCAAGAAUGUGAUCUAUGGCAAGGAAACAUAUGUGGGGUGAGGUGUAUGAGCCUCUGGUCGACGAUCAAUGGCCACACAACCCUAAUUUUUGUCGAAAAUAGCCAUGAACGACCAUUUUCAAUGACACUGAAGGCUAACACCUACGGAUUUUUGACCAAGAAAUGGUCUCCACCAUAAAUCCAAGAAUGUGAUCUAUGGCAAGGAAACAUAUGUGUAGUGAGGUGUAUGAGCCUCUGGUCGAA